GUUGCGAAGAUCAUUGCAUAUAUGAUGGCCACACGUCUCGCUCCUCACAUGUUCAACCUUGUGUCCAAUACGCAAAGUGCUUUCAUCAAGAAAAGGAGCAUACAUGAUAACUUUAUGGAUGUCCGAAACUUGGCACGUCGAUUUCACCGCAACAAAUCACCGAUCUUGCUCUUCAAGCUAGACAUCAAGACAUCGCUUGACUCGGUUAGAUGGGACUACUUGAUGGAUUUAUUGAGACAUCAUCAUUUCCCAAGCCGCUUUCGAGACUAG
RNAcentral lists this ribosomal RNA (270 nucleotides) under Triticum aestivum (bread wheat). RNAcentral describes it as "partial small subunit ribosomal RNA". Lineage: Eukaryota; Viridiplantae; Streptophyta; Magnoliopsida; Poales; Poaceae. The record is from RNAcentral.